Molecule: small nucleolar RNA, 68 nt
Organism: Fundulus heteroclitus (mummichog)
Lineage: Eukaryota; Metazoa; Chordata; Actinopteri; Cyprinodontiformes; Fundulidae
Source: Ensembl
GACAAUGAUGUAUCAAUCCUAUUCCAUUGCUGAGUGUGCCACUGUGUGGAAAAAUACUGACUGAUGUU